UAGCUAAAACCAAACUAGAGGUACACUACUGUUAAUAGUGAAAAUGAAUUUAUUCUAGCUAC
RNAcentral lists this transfer RNA (62 nucleotides) under Thrips setosus. Its description in RNAcentral is "tRNA-Asn". Lineage: Eukaryota; Metazoa; Arthropoda; Insecta; Thysanoptera; Thripidae. The record is from RNAcentral.